CAGUCGCCGCGGUAAUACGUAGGUGGCAAGCGUUGUCCGGAAUUAUUGGGCGUAAAGCGCGCGCAGGCGGUUUCUUAAGUCUGAUGUGAAAGCCCCCGGCUCAACCGGGGAGGGUCAUUGGAAACUGGGAAACUUGAGUGCAGAAGAGGAGAGUGGAAUUCCACGUGUAGCGGUGAAAUGCGUAGAGAUGUGGAGGAACACCAGUGGCGAAGGCGACUCUCUGGUCUGUAACUGACGCUGAGGAGCGAAAGCGUGGGGAGCGAACAGGAUUAGAUACCCGAGUAGUCCCUGUCUCUUAUAC
This 301-nucleotide ribosomal RNA is filed under the name uncultured bacterium. Its description in RNAcentral is "partial 16S ribosomal RNA". It matches the Rfam family "Bacterial small subunit ribosomal RNA", at positions 509 to 807 of the family's 1533-position model. The record is from RNAcentral.